Molecule: ribosomal RNA, 333 nt
Filed under: uncultured Glomeromycotina
Lineage: Eukaryota; Fungi; Glomeromycota
Description: eukaryotic LSU rRNA
Source: RNAcentral
UAUCAGCCUUUUGGGCAUGAUUCUGUGGAGCGUGAGGAGUUAAACGCCUUCAUGCCUGCAUAUUCGUGUACUUUGGGUGUACUUGCCUGUGUGGUUAGUUAACAUCAAUUUUGGUUAUCAUAAAAUGGUUGGAGGAAUGUAGCUUCGGUUUCGAUUGAAGUGUUAUAGCCUUCGGCAGAUGUGAUGAUUGGGAUUGAGGAUUGCAACGGAUACCCUUCGGGGCUACCUGUCUGGUCUCUGAUCGUUGCUUUGGUGCCGAAAGCGUGCUUACGGUUAUCAAAGUCGAUGGUCAAUAGGUUAGAACGGGUUAAAUUCGUUAAGGAUGUUGACGUA